GACGAACGCUGGCGGCGUGCUUAACACAUGCAAGUCGAACGGAAAGGCCCUGCUUUUGUGGGGUGCUCGAGUGGCGAACGGGUGAGUAACACGUGAGUAACCUGCCCUUGACUUUGGGAUAACUUCAGGAAACUGGGGCUAAUACCGGAUAGGAGCUCCUGCUGCAUGGUGGGGGUUGGAAAGUUUCGGCGGUUGGGGAUGGACUCGCGGCUUAUCAGCUUGUUGGUGGGGUAGUGGCUUACCAAGGCUUUGACGGGUAGCCGGUCUGAGAGGGUGACCGGCCAACUUGGGACUGAGAUACGGCCCAGACUCCUACGGGAGGCAGCAGGGGGGAAUAUUGCACAAUGGGCGGAAGCCUGAUGCAGCAACGCCGCGUGCGGGAUGACGGCCUUCGGGUUGUAAACCGCUUUCGCCUGUGACGAAGCGUGAGUGACGGUAAUGGGUAAAGAAGCACCGGCUAACUACGUG
Molecule: ribosomal RNA, 468 nt
Filed under: uncultured bacterium
Lineage: Bacteria
Description: partial 16S ribosomal RNA
Rfam family: Bacterial small subunit ribosomal RNA
Source: RNAcentral